CCGCGCGCUCGGCGGGACCGAGAAGUGGAUGGAGCUUCUCGGCUCCGGAAUGGUGCACCCGAAGGUGAUCGAGGCCUGCGGGCUCGAUCCUGAAGUCUGGCAGGGAUUCGCCUUCGGCUGCGGAAUCGACCGCCUGGCGAUGCUCAAAUACGGCAUGGACGACCUUCGCGCCUUCUUCGACGGCGAUAGCCGCUGGCUGAAGCAUUACGGCUUCUCGGCGCUCGACGUU
This 229-nucleotide unclassified non-coding RNA is filed under the name plant metagenome. RNAcentral's name for it is "partial contains 5.8S ribosomal RNA, internal transcribed spacer 2, and large subunit ribosomal RNA". The record is from RNAcentral.